GACGAACGCUGGCGGCGUGCUUAACACAUGCAAGUCGAACGGAAAGGCCCUGCUUUUGUGGUGUGCUCGAGUGGCGAACGGGUGAGUAACACGUGAGUAACCUGCCCUUGACUUUGGUAUAACUUCAGGAAACUGGGGCUAAUACCGGAUAGGAGCUCCUGCUGCAUGGUGGGGGUUGGAAAUUUUCGGCGGUUGGGGAUGGACUCGCGGCUUAUCAGCUUGUUGGUGGGGUAGUGGCUUCCAAAGGCUUUGACGGGUAGCCGGCCUGAGAGGGUGACCGGCAACAUGGGGACUGAGAUACGGCCCAGACUCCUACGGGAGGAAGCAGUGGGGAAUAUUGCACAAUGGGCGGAAGCCUGAUGAAGCAACGCGGCGUGCGGGAUGACGGCCUUCGGGUUGUAAACCGCUUUCGCCUGUGACGAAGCGUGAGUGACGGUAAUGGGUAAAGAAGCACCGGCUAACUACGUG
Molecule: ribosomal RNA, 468 nt
Filed under: uncultured bacterium
Lineage: Bacteria
Description: partial 16S ribosomal RNA
Rfam family: Bacterial small subunit ribosomal RNA
Source: RNAcentral